This 23-nucleotide non-coding RNA is filed under the name Cricetulus griseus (Chinese hamster). Lineage: Eukaryota; Metazoa; Chordata; Mammalia; Rodentia; Cricetidae. The record is from RNAcentral.
GUAGGUUGUCCGUGACUAUUACC